ACGGGAGGCAGCGGUGGGGAAUAUUGCACAAUGGGCGAAAGCCUGAUGCAGCGACGCCGCGUGAGCGAAGAAGUAUUUCGGUAUGUAAAGCUCUAUCAGCAGGGAAGAUAAUGACGGUACCUGACUAAGAAGCACCGGCUAAUACGUGCCAGCAGCCGCGGUAAUGCGUAUGGUGCAAGCGUUAUCCGGAUUUACUGGGUGUAAAGGGAGCGUAGGCGGUUUUACAAGUCUGAUGUGAAAGCCCGGGGCUCAACUCCGGUAUUGCAUUGGAAACUGUAGAACUAGAGUGUCGGAGGGGUAAGUGGAAUUCCUAGUGUAGCGGUGAAAUGCGUAGAUAUUAGGAGGAACACCAGUGGCGAAGGCGGCUUACUGGACGAUUACUGACGCUGAGGCUCGAAAGCGUGGGGAGCAAACAGGAUUAGAUACCCUGGUA
RNAcentral lists this ribosomal RNA (433 nucleotides) under uncultured Pseudobutyrivibrio sp. RNAcentral's name for it is "partial 16S ribosomal RNA". It matches the Rfam family "Bacterial small subunit ribosomal RNA", at positions 341 to 792 of the family's 1533-position model. The record is from RNAcentral. Lineage: Bacteria; Bacillati; Bacillota; Clostridia; Lachnospirales; Lachnospiraceae.